GCCGGGGUCUCCUAGAGCCUGAAAAGGCGGGGAACCAGGUAUGGAGCAGGCCUGGAGAGCCUGUGGCCCCCUGGGCCACGUGGGUUCGAAUCCCACCCCCGGCGCCA
Molecule: transfer RNA, 107 nt
Filed under: Candidatus Bathyarchaeota archaeon
Lineage: Archaea; Thermoproteati; Candidatus Bathyarchaeota
Description: tRNA-Ser
Rfam family: tRNA
About the family: Transfer RNA (tRNA) molecules are approximately 80 nucleotides in length. Their secondary structure includes four short double-helical elements and three loops (D, anti-codon, and T loops). Further hydrogen bonds mediate the characteristic L-shaped molecular structure. tRNAs have two regions of fundamental functional importance: the anti-codon, which is responsible for specific mRNA codon recognition, and the 3' end, to which the tRNAs corresponding amino acid is attached (by aminoacyl-tRNA synthetases). tRNAs cope with the degeneracy of the genetic code in two manners: having more than one tRNA (with a specific anti-codon) for a particular amino acid; and 'wobble' base-pairing, i.e. permitting non-standard base-pairing at the 3rd anti-codon position.
Source: RNAcentral